RNAcentral lists this ribosomal RNA (481 nucleotides) under uncultured bacterium. RNAcentral describes it as "partial 16S ribosomal RNA". It matches the Rfam family "Bacterial small subunit ribosomal RNA", at positions 28 to 507 of the family's 1533-position model. The record is from RNAcentral.
GAUGAACGCUGGCGGCGUGCUUAACACAUGCAAGUCGAACGAAGCACUUUAUUUGAUUUCCUUCGGGACUGAUUAUUUUGUGACUGAGUGGCGGACGGGUGAGUAACGCGUGGGUAACCUGCCUUGUACAGGGGGAUAACAGUUGGAAACGGCUGCUAAUACCGCAUAAGCGCACAGCAUCGCAUGAUGCAGUGUGAAAAACUCCGGUGGUAUAAGGUGGACCCGCGUUGGAUUAGCUAGUUGGUGAGGUAACGGCCCACCAAGGCGACGAUCCAUAGCCGACCUGAGAGGGUGACCGGCCACAUUGGGACUGAGACACGGCCCAAACUCCUACGGGAGGCAGCAGUGGGGAAUAUUGCACAAUGGGCGAAAGCCUGAUGCAGCGACGCCGCGUGAGCGAAGAAGUAUUUCGGUAUGUAAAGCUCUAUCAGCAGGGAAGAUAAUGACGGUACCUGACGAAGAAGCACCGGCUAAAUACGUG